This 513-nucleotide long non-coding RNA is filed under the name Manihot esculenta (cassava). Its description in RNAcentral is "long non-coding RNA (MESC_LNC004050)". Lineage: Eukaryota; Viridiplantae; Streptophyta; Magnoliopsida; Malpighiales; Euphorbiaceae. The record is from RNAcentral.
AUUCACAUAAAUUAUGUAAAUUUCAACAAAUUUCAAAUAACGAACAAACUUCAAUAAACAAAAUUCAACAAACUCAUCUACACAAACUCAUCAAAUAACCUGUGGUGGAGCAAUGGAAGAGCUACAGCGAGCAAACUGGAAACGGCUUGACUUGCCGAGGAGAAGCAAACUGGAAACGACCGAUGAGGAGCUGCAGCGACUCUGGACUAAAGACGUGCCAAGGAGAGGCUGGACUCUGGAGAAAUGGAUGCGGCUACUCCCUACCUGCCGCCAGCGUGCUGCUGGCCUGCUGCUGCGUUUUCUUUUUUCUUUGAUUUGGGGAGAGCGAAAAAUUAAAAAAUUUUGAAAUAAAUAAACAAAUGAAAAUUGAGGAGAAGCCAUAAACAGAUAAUAGAGGAGAAACUGAGUAAAGAGAAGACAGAGACAAAAACUGAGCAAACCUGAAGAGAGUUCCGGUCAAAGGAGAUUUCGCCGUCGUCGACUGGGUAGAGAUAGGAGACGUCGCCGCUGCCG